AUCGGGCGGGUUUAGAGGGAAAGCGCUGGUACCGAGCCAGUAUAUAACUGUGUAAGUGACACGUAUGCAAGCAGGAGCCCCGGACCCACAGGCCUGUGAGGAAUAAAAGCUUUGGGAAAUGCACUUUGUUGAUCUGCAUCGAGUAGCUCUGAUUGCCAGGGUGUCCCACAUUGAUCCAAUCCUGGAUGGGCUGCUGAAUAAUGACAUCCUGACCCAGGAACAGUACGACACAGUGAGAAGCAAGGGAACCUGCCAGGAGAAGAUGAGGCAACUCUAUGACUGUGUCAGGGCCUGGGGGGAAUAUGAGAAGGAGAAGUUCUACGAGUACUUGCUAGAGUACAAUGGGCCACUCAUUGGGGACCUUGAAAAUAAUUAAAAGCUCCUCUGAGACUGCUCGGUUUUGGAUAUGUGGCCAAUUCAAAGUUGAAACAAUGUCUGCCAGCCCUUCAGCCAGCUUCUCUGGCCCAUAUUCUGAAUCUCAGCACUCCGGUACUGCGUUCCAUAUAGUGAUGCCUUUGGCCCAAACUCACCCAAUGUGGGAGACAAUGGCGCCAUAUUACACUGUUCAUGUUAUUUAGAUAUGAACAGCUGUAUCUUAAAUAAAACUGCAUUUUAUGCUAAUAUUA
Molecule: long non-coding RNA, 626 nt
Organism: Xenopus tropicalis (tropical clawed frog)
Lineage: Eukaryota; Metazoa; Chordata; Amphibia; Anura; Pipidae
Exons: 2
Source: RefSeq, a predicted model, not a curated record